Molecule: long non-coding RNA, 1129 nt
Organism: Halichondria panicea
Lineage: Eukaryota; Metazoa; Porifera; Demospongiae; Suberitida; Halichondriidae
Exons: 7
Source: RefSeq, a predicted model, not a curated record
GCAUAUUAUGUUUCAUACCUCCUAGAUUGGCAGUGAGAAGAAGUCUACUCCUCUAGACAGUAUCAGAGGGCCUCCCUCGUUCCUAUACCACCCACAGAGGUUGAGGAGAAAAGUGAAACCAUUCGAUGUCUAGAGGAUGACCUGCUGAGGGAGUUGGAGGAGAAGCUGCUCGAGAGGUCUCAAAUCAUGGACCUGGGUGUCGUGGCUGAGCUGGAGUGAGAAUUGGAACUGGCCAACAGCAAGGCAGAUGUGUGGCUUAGUGGUUAGAGCGAACCAGGGAGGAUUUGAUGUGUCUAUCAACACCUUGUGCUGAGACUACUUGCAUGCUGAACGAAAAAUUGUUAUGCUAAGGAACCUGCAGAUGGCUGACUCGCUCACUGUGGUAUAUCAGUUUGACCAACAAUUCCAAACAUAUUUCACAUUUCUCGUAUAAGCAGCAGGCUUAAACUAUCUUUUGUGAUAUGUCAGUGUUUGAUGUCCUUUGCAGUACUUCGUACUAACGGUUUCUUCAGCCUUCACACUGCUUUCCAUACAUUCAGUGGACAGUUAGUAGCUACAUGUAUAUCAUAUCUGCUGGUAUAUGCAAGCUAGUCCCAGCCCAUUCUCCACUUCAGAUCCUCACCAUAAUUUGUAUUCUGCUGUGCAGCUAGGAGAGACGUGUGAUGGAGGAAGAGCUCAAGAAGGCACUAUGUAGACAUAUUCGAGUGCUACAAACAACAGAGAGUUCUUCCUGCGAGUGGACCCCCCAGACAGAAAGCUGGAUAUCGACGAGUACUCUGACGUGACCCAGACCAUGCUCACCAAACUACAUCAGUCAGUGUCCAUGGAGAUAUGCUCCACCCACUCUGUUCAGGUUCGAAAAUGUUGUGUUUGAGAUCACAUCAGGCAGAUAGAGAAGGUGGAGCUGGUCCUCCAGGACCUCCUUCAGCUGCAAUACGAGGGCCUAGCAAUCAUGAAGAUGUUUCAGAGGGUCAAAUUGAACGUUAAUCUGCUCAUUUUCCUUAUGAACAAAAAUCGCUAAGCGUUAUAUUGUAUUUCCUGUAUUCAUGACAAUUUUAUGUACGUGCAGUGCAUGUCUCUCUGUGACACUGUUUAGAAAGCGAAACCAUCAUUAUUGCUGUGCUAUUGA